Bubalus bubalis (water buffalo) is the source of this 3780-nucleotide long non-coding RNA. RefSeq lists it as uncharacterized. NCBI's taxonomy places the organism in Eukaryota, Metazoa, Chordata, Mammalia, Artiodactyla, Bovidae. The record is from RefSeq and is a predicted model, not a curated record. The transcript has 2 exons.
GGCAACCCACUCCAGUGUUCUUGUCUGGAGAAUCCCAGGGACAGUGGAGCCUGGUGGGCUUCCGUCUGUGGGGUCGCACAGAGUCAGACACGACUGAAGUGACUUAGCAGCAGCAGCAGAUGGAUCAAUACUGACUCCCUAUGGAGUAAAUAUUAUGAUUUAAAAAGAGUAUUUGCCAUUUGUACAAAAGGAAAACAUACAACUUUUAAAAGUUUGAAUUGAUGAUAGGAAAAGAAGUGGUGGAAUAAAAGUUGUUUCUGCCCUGAAUGACAGAGCUCUAGUAUGUCCUCUUAUCUUGGAAAGAAGCUAUCUCUGUCCAACUCAUGAUCAUGCACUAUGAGAAACUUGCCAAUCUACCUAAUGAUAAAACUACUUACUACUCAAUCUUGCUCAUCACUACUCGUCCAAAUACAUUAGUUUUCAAAUGUACUAAAGGGAACCCAUAUGAGCUAAUAUGAAUAGGCUUGAGAGUGUCAUUUAGAGAAUUUGAUUGCUUCAUGGAGGAAGGCCAUAUUCCAUUUACCCUAUUGGCUCCAACUGAAGCUGUUUUAGUACAAAAGGAAAAUUUUAAAAUGAAAAUAAGACUUCAUAUAGCUAGUCAGGCAUAUUUUGAGGGAGUGAUCAAAAUAGACCUGCAUUUUUAAAAAGAUAGCAUAGGAGAUUUGAACAGAAUGAACAAGGACAAAAUUCUAGUGAUCUGGAAGAACAAAAGGAGAAAAUGAAGAAUUGGAGUGAACUGCUAGACAAAACCUAGUGUGUGAAAACAGGAGUAACUUUUAGAAAUGAAAGGAGUAGAUGUAAGGGAAACCAUAUUCAAAAGAGUAACAGGCAAAAACUCACCUGAACCAAGGGUCGACAGAGGAUGAGGUGGUUGGAUGGCCUCACCGACUCAAUGGACAUGAGUUUGAGUAAACUCUGGGAGUCGGUGAUAGACAGGGAGGCCUGGCGUGCUGCAGUCCAUGGGGUCACAGAGUCAGACACGACUGAGCGGCUGAACUGAACACUUGAACCAAAGAAAAACUCAAGUUAUCAAAAUGAAAGCACAUCACAAGGAUGGGGUAGAAUAAAUGUUUUAUUACUUAUAUAAAUUUAUAUACAUAUGUUGAAUGUAUAGAUAUAUCUGGCUAAAAUAUCUGUACUCAGUUGGGGAAGAGAAAAUGUUAACACCUUUCCAGUAUAGAAGUGAUGGUUUGUAAAGGAAAGAGCAUCAUGAUGUCACUUGUGUACUUUUCCAGUUUUCCAGCUUAGUGCGGAGGGAAAGGGUCCUAACACUCAUGGGAAUUUGGUUUCCUAGAAAUGGACCAUCUUUCUUUUUUUUUUUUUUUUGUAAUGUAUUUAUCUCUCAUGUUUGUAAUUAUAUAAAUACUGAAGUUACUGUGAUUAUGGAAUGUGGUAAGCUUCCAAUCUUUCAUAUUGGAAAGCCAGGGUGCCCAAGUGGAAACCUAAAUAUUUCUGUAGGAAGUUUGCCUUUAUUCAUUAUUUUUUUUUAUUACAGCCUUUUUUGGUGAAGUGAUUUAUUUACAUGUUUUUUUUUUAAAGUUUCUGUCCUAUUAACUGUCUUGAUGCCUAACUGAGGGCAUUCAGAACUGAUAAUCAGUAGGCUUUUCUAUUUAAUGCUGGAGGAACAAGCUGCUUAUGAUGACCCAACAGAGACAUGAGGAAGGUUUGUGAAAGGGGUGUAUUCAUCCUGCUCUAAUCCUUGUUUUCAGAAAGACAGUGCCUUUAAGUGUUCUCUAAUUAGUGAAUAGAUAUGGUUGUAAAUUCUUGUAGACACCUCUUUUGUAGGACAGAGAUGGAUGCCUGGCUUGUUUAAAUCUUUGUUUUACUUUUAAGUGAAAUUUUGAUAUUGAACAUUUGACAAUGGAGAAUAGGAAAAGUAACUUUAUACAUAUAAUUAUUCCUUUUUUAUUAGUAUGCUCCAUUGUGAUCUUUCUUUUUUAACAUCAUCACAAUUAGAAACUUGAAUAUCAUAUGAGAUGAUCACGGCAAAAUAAAAGCAGGGUUUUCUGUUUUGUCUUCCUGCUUGGUUGUUUGCUUUGCUGAUCUUUGUGUACAUAAAAUAAUGUUUACUGCUAUGAAUUAAAUUCUUUUGGGUUUGGUGAAAUUGCUUCUACCCGUCACCUAGGAAAUGUAAGCGAGGGAACGAGACACUGAUAUUUAGGCAUACCAAGAGGAAAUAUAUUUCUUCAGUGAACUGAAUAUAAAACACGAUCAGUGAAAACACCUGGAAAUCAAAAAGAACAGAUUUUAGUUAUGCUUCUCCUUUUCAAAGAACUUAAGUACUUAGCUAUUAUUGUUAGUACUGGAGAAGUAAGUUGGCACUGUCAUUUGAAAUAUGAUAAAUAAAAGCCUGUCGAAUGUCUGCUUCUACUUUUAGCACUUGUCUGAUUCCUUCUCCAGGAAUUGCAUCAUGGAAACUACCUAAGAAUUAAUGGGAGUCAAAUAUACAGCCUUAUUUGUUGUAAUAAAUGUAUUCUCUAUCACUGUGUAAUGAUAAAGCCAUAGUUAUUGAAACUACCAAAGUUAUUGAAACAGAGGGAUAGGAGCUUUUUGCCUUUAUCACCUGUAUUAUUAAUUGGAGAUAAUUACUGCAGAGCAGCUGGCUGUUGGUUUUAGGGAGCAUCAAUUGUUCUUCUCACCCAGCUGUUGGCUAAUAAGGAUAGUCAACACAUCUGUUUCAACAGCUGGUAAUUAACAAAAGCCUAAUUGCUGCAACUCUUUUAACAUCCAAUCUGUGAAAAAGAAGGGAUGUAGAGGAAUAUUAUUUACUUUGUGCUUUGCACUCUCUGAGACCAGUUUCUCUUUUCUCUCUCCCUCCACUUUUUUCCCCUUACUUUGAACACCACUGCCUUUGUAUGAAGCAUUGAAUGGCAGGAGAACACAAUAUGGUAGUACCAGAGAGAGCAAGCUUAGAGAAAGGAAUGUAUCAUGCCAUGAAAAAGGAGAAUGGACGUUUUGGAGGGAACUCACAUUCCAGCUGAUGCUUUAAGUGUUUCCUUGCAUAUAGAUUUUUUUCCAGAGAAAAUAACUUCAAGAACAAGUGGUGUGAUAGACAGGAAAUCAAUAAUUUAAUGGAUAUUCUCUGAAGACUGUGACUACUGCUUGAUUAACCUGUUUUCUAAAAAAGCAAAUCUCAUUUAAUGAUGAAUAGAUUUCUUAGUGAAGCCAGUGAGGUGGUCAGUGGUUUUAUAUGUAUCAGUAUAAAUGACUUUCAGAGGUAUGGUCAAGAAGUCCUGGGAGCCAGAUAUCUAAUGGGAUCUAACUGGCAACAAAUUUAAGGUCAAGGUAGUAUCUUCUAAGAGUUCAUUCAGUGGAAAAGAUAGAGCCUCCAUAGUCUGAAUUCAUGGACAAAUGCUUCAAAAUAAAUAUGUUGAAUUACUUAUGGCUUUAAAAUUGAAUAUCAUACACUAAAAUUAAAAAUACAAAAAGAAUAACUUUAAAUGACAGUGAACAGAAAAAGAGAGAAAUUGGAGUAAACUAUGUUCUUUAUUGUCAUCCCAAUAGGAUAUAAUGGCUUCUUUAAAGUUGGAGAAGAGGUUGGCAAAGUAGUUAAUGCAUAAACUCAGCAUUGUUUAUUGAAUAGGUAGUUAAGAAUUCUGUACUCAAAUUCUGGUUCUGACACUAACCUUUAUUUAUAACCUUAAAAACUGAGAGAGUUUAAGUAAAUAAUUUCCUAACAAGCAGUUCUUUCACCCCAAGAAAUUUUUUUUCCAGAAGGAUUCACAUUGUUAAGUGUGGUUAGGGGAAUGUUUCAAUUUCUGCUUUUCAACAUUUUAUCAA